GCAUUAAUGGGGUAGUGGUAACCUGGGUCGUUGCCAUCCGAGUCUUGACUCGACCCGCCGGGGGUUCGAUUCCCUCUUAAUGCA
RNAcentral lists this transfer RNA (84 nucleotides) under Ephemerocybe angulata. RNAcentral describes it as "Coprinellus angulatus tRNA-Gly". It matches the Rfam family "tRNA". Rfam says of the family: Transfer RNA (tRNA) molecules are approximately 80 nucleotides in length. Their secondary structure includes four short double-helical elements and three loops (D, anti-codon, and T loops). Further hydrogen bonds mediate the characteristic L-shaped molecular structure. tRNAs have two regions of fundamental functional importance: the anti-codon, which is responsible for specific mRNA codon recognition, and the 3' end, to which the tRNAs corresponding amino acid is attached (by aminoacyl-tRNA synthetases). tRNAs cope with the degeneracy of the genetic code in two manners: having more than one tRNA (with a specific anti-codon) for a particular amino acid; and 'wobble' base-pairing, i.e. permitting non-standard base-pairing at the 3rd anti-codon position. Lineage: Eukaryota; Fungi; Basidiomycota; Agaricomycetes; Agaricales; Psathyrellaceae. The record is from RNAcentral.